GAUGAACGCUGGCGGCGUGCCUAAUACAUGCAAGUCGAGCGAACGGACGAGAAGCUUGCUUCUCUGAUGUUAGCGGCGGACGGGUGAGUAACACGUGGAUAACCUACCUAUAAGACUGGGAUAACUUCGGGAAACCGGAGCUAAUACCGGAUAAUAUUUUGAACCGCAUGGUUCAAAAGUGAAGGACGGUCUUGCUGUCACUUAUAGAUGGAUCCGCGCUGCAUUAGCUAGUUGGUAAGGUAACGGCUUACCAAGGCAACGAUGCAUAGCCGACCUGAGAGGGUGAUCGGCCACACUGGAACUGAGACACGGUCCAGACUCCUACGGGAGGCAGCAGUAGGGAAUCUUCCGCAAUGGGCGAAAGCCUGACGGAGCAACGCCGCGUGAGUGAUGAAGGUCUUCGGAUCGUAAAACUCUGUUAUUAGGGAAGAACAUAUGUGUAAGUAACUGUGCACAUCUUGACGGUACCUAAUCAGAAAGCCACGGCUAACUACGUGCCAGCAGCCGCGGUAAUACGUAGGUGGCAAGCGUUAUCCGGAAUUAUUGGGCGUAAAGCGCGCGUAGGCGGUUUUUUAAGUCUGAUGUGAAAGCCCACGGCCCAACCGUGGAGGGUCAUUGGAAACUGGAAAACUUGAGUGCAGAAGAGGAAAGUGGAAUUCCAUGUGUAGCGGCGAAAUGCGCAGAGAUAUGGAGGAACACCAGUGGCGAAGGCGACUUUCUGGUCUGUAACUGACGCUGAUGUGCGAAAGCGUGGGGAUCAAACAGGAUUAGAUACCCUGGUAGUCCACGCCGUAAACGAUGAGUGCUAAGUGUUAGGGGGUUUCCGCCCCUUAGUGCUGCAGCUAACGCAUUAAGCACUCCGCCUGGGGAGUACGACCGCAAGGUUGAAACUCAAAGGAAUUGACGGGGGCCCGUACAAGCGGUGGAGCAUGUGGUUUAAUUCGAAGCAACGCGAAGAACCUUACCAAAUCUUGACAUCCUUUGACAACUCUAGAGAUAGAGCCUUCCCCUUCGGGGGACAAAGUGACAGGUGGUGCAUGGUUGUCGUCAGCUCGUGUCGUGAGAUGUUGGGUUAAGUCCCGCAACGAGCGCAACCCUUAAGCUUAGUUGCCAUCAUUAAGUUGGGCACUCUAAGUUGACUGCCGGUGACAAACCGGAGGGAGGUGGGGGUGACGUCAAAUCAUCAUGCCCCUUAUGAUUUGGGCUACACACGUGCUACAAUGGACAAUACAAAGGGCAGCGAAACCGCGAGGUCAAGCAAAUCCCAUAAAGUUGUUCUCAGUUCGGAUUGUAGUCUGCAACUCGACUACAUGAAGCUGGAAUCGCUAGUAAUCGUAGAUCAGCAUGCUACGGUGAAUACGUUCCCGGGUCU
Molecule: ribosomal RNA, 1372 nt
Filed under: uncultured bacterium
Lineage: Bacteria
Description: bacterial SSU rRNA
Rfam family: Bacterial small subunit ribosomal RNA
Source: RNAcentral